AUGCUGGAGGUAUCAGAAGUGCGAAUGCUGACAUAAGUAACGAUAAAGCGGGUGAAAAGCCCGCUCGCCGGAAGACCAAGGGUUCCUGUCCAACGUUAAUCGGGGCAGGGUGAGUCGACCCCUAAGGCGAGGCCGAAAGGCGUAGUCGAUGGGAAACAGGUUAAUAUUCCUGUACUUGGUGUUACUGCGAAGGGGGGACGGAGAAGGCUAUGUUGGCCGGGCGACGGUUGUCCCGGUUUAAGCGUGUAGGCUGGUUUUCCAGGCAAAUCCGGAAAAUCAAGGCUGAGGCGUGAUGACGAGGCACUACGGUGCUGAAGCAACAAAUGCCCUGCUUCCAGGAAAAGCCUCUAAGCAUCAGGUAACAUCAAAUCGUACCCCAAACCGACACAGGUGGUCAGGUAGAGAAUACCAAGGCGCUUGAGAGAACUCGGGUGAAGGAACUAGGCAAAAUGGUGCCGUAACUUCGGGAGAAGGCACGCUGAUAUGUAGGUGAAGUCCCUUGCGGAUGGAGCUGAAAUCAGUCGAAGAUACCAGCUGGCUGCAACUGUUUAUUAAAAACACAGCACUGUGCAAACACGAAAGUGGACGUAUACGGUGUGACGCCUGCCCGGUGCCGGAAGGUUAAUUGAUGGGGUCAGCGCAAGCGAAGCUCUUGAUCGAAGCCCCGGUAAACGGCGGCCGUAACUAUAACGGUCCUAAGGUAGCGAAAUUCCUUGUCGGGUAAGUUCCGACCUGCACGAAUGGCGUAAUGAUGGCCAGGCUGUCUCCACCCGAGACUCAGUGAAAUUGAACUCGCUGUGAAGAUGCAGUGUACCCGCGGCAAGACGGAAAGACCCCGUGAACCUUUACUAUAGCUUGACACUGAACAUUGAGCCUUGAUGUGUAGGAUAGGUGGGAGGCUUUGAAGUGUGGACGCCAGUCUGCAUGGAGCCGACCUUGAAAUACCACCCUUUAAUGUUUGAUGUUCUAACGUUGACCCGUGAUCCGGGUUGCGGACAGUGUCUGGUGGGUAGUUUGACUGGGGCGGUCUCCUCCUAAAGAGUAACGGAGGAGCACGAAGGUUGGCUAAUCCUGGUCGGACAUCAGGAGGUUAGUGCAAUGGCAUAAGCCAGCUUGACUGCGAGCGUGACGGCGCGAGCAGGUGCGAAAGCAGGUCAUAGUGAUCCGGUGGUUCUGAAUGGAAGGGCCAUCGCUCAACGGAUAAAAGGUACUCCGGGGAUAACAGGCUGAUACCGCCCAAGAGUUCAUAUCGACGGCGGUGUUUGGCACCUCGAUGUCGGCUCAUCACAUCCUGGGGCUGAAGUAGGUCCCAAGGGUAUGGCUGUUCGCCAUUUAAAGUGGUACGCGAGCUGGGUUUAGAACGUCGUGAGACAGUUCGGUCCCUAUCUGCCGUGGGCGCUGGAGAACUGAGGGGGGCUGCUCCUAGUACGAGAGGACCGGAGUGGACGCAUCACUGGUGUUCGGGUUGUCAUGCCAAUGGCACUGCCCGGUAGCUAAAUGCGGAAGAGAUAAGUGCUGAAAGCAUCUAAGCACGAAACUUGCCCCGAGAUGAGUUCUCCCUGACCCUUUAAGGGUCCUGAAGGAACGUUGAAGACGACGACGUUGAUAGGCCGGGUGUGUAAGCGCAGCGAUGCGUUGAGCUAACCGGUACUAAUGAACCGUGAGGCUUAACCUUACAACGCCGAAGCUGUU
Molecule: ribosomal RNA, 1692 nt
Filed under: Escherichia coli
Lineage: Bacteria; Pseudomonadati; Pseudomonadota; Gammaproteobacteria; Enterobacterales; Enterobacteriaceae
Description: partial 23S ribosomal RNA
Rfam family: Bacterial large subunit ribosomal RNA
Source: RNAcentral